GCAUCGAUGAAGAGCGCAGCCAGCUGCGUGAAUUAAUGUGAAUUGCAGGACACACUGAACAUCGACAUCUUGAACGCACAUGGCGGCUCUUGCUCACUGCAAGGGCCACGCCUGUCCGAGGGUCGGCGAACAAGUCAUCGCUCUGCGAACGCGGAGCGCGUUGGCGUGUCGCGCGGGCUUCCGCCCCGCUCGUCCGCCGUAGACUCUAGCCUCUCCCGCGACUCGCUGCUCCAGAUCGAAGGGGCGCCGGGACAGGGCUCGCGAGCCCCCACUGUCCCGCGCCGGUCCUCCUCCUCGCUGGGGAGGACGACCUUCUCGAGCGCGCGAGGGGAGAGCGCGCUGCAGCAGAAGCAGUGCGACAGGAAAUCGCCAGGCCGGCGCGAGAUCAAGCUCGGCGGCGACUUCUCUAUCCGACCUCGGAUCAGACGAGACUACCCGCUGAACUUAAGCAUAUCAGUAAGCGGAGGAAAAGAAACU
Molecule: small RNA, 477 nt
Filed under: Meretrix cf. petechialis Mpe
Lineage: Eukaryota; Metazoa; Mollusca; Bivalvia; Venerida; Veneridae
Description: eukaryotic LSU rRNA
Rfam family: 5.8S ribosomal RNA (bases 1-125)
Source: RNAcentral